UAGCUGAGAGGUAAAGCGCUUGGCUUCCGAACCGGGGGCCCCGGGUUCGAAUCCUGG
Molecule: non-coding RNA, 57 nt
Organism: Biomphalaria glabrata
Lineage: Eukaryota; Metazoa; Mollusca; Gastropoda; Planorbidae
Source: Rfam